Molecule: ribosomal RNA, 250 nt
Filed under: uncultured bacterium
Lineage: Bacteria
Description: partial 16S ribosomal RNA
Rfam family: Bacterial small subunit ribosomal RNA
Source: RNAcentral
UACGUAGGGUGCGAGCGUUAAUCGGAAUUACUGGGCGUAAAGCGUGCGCAGGCGGUUGUGCAAGACAGAUGUGAAAUCCCCGGGCUUAACCUGGGAAUUGCAUUUGUGACUGCACGGCUAGAGUGUGUCAGAGGGAGGUAGAAUUCCACGUGUAGCAGUGAAAUGCGUAGAUAUGUGGAGGAAUACCGAUGGCGAAGGCAGCCUCCUGGGAUAACACUGACGCUCAUGCACGAAAGCGUGGGGAGCAAAC